RNAcentral lists this ribosomal RNA (550 nucleotides) under Leptodactylus vastus. Its description in RNAcentral is "partial 16S ribosomal RNA". It matches the Rfam family "Bacterial large subunit ribosomal RNA", at positions 1894 to 2591 of the family's 2925-position model. Lineage: Eukaryota; Metazoa; Chordata; Amphibia; Anura; Leptodactylidae. The record is from RNAcentral.
CUCAAUAAGAGGUCCAGCCUGCCAGUGACCCUGUUCAACGGCCGCGGUAUCCUAACCGUGCGAAGGUAGCGUAAUCACUUGUUCUUUAAAUGAGGACUAGUAUGAAUGGCAUCACGAAGGUUAUACUGUCUCCUCUCUCUAAUCAGUGAAACUAAUCUCCCCGUGAAGAAGCGGGGAUAAUCUUAUAAGACGAGAAGACCCUAUGGAGCUUUAAACUAAGAAGCAAUUGCCCUCAUACCUUUGAAAUUCCAGAAAACUAAUGAGUACAAGGCACUGUGACUUCCAGUUUUAGGUUGGGGUGACCACGGAGUAAAAACUAACCUCCGUACUGAAUAGGGGCCUUCCCUAAACUAAGGGCCACAACCCUAAGAAUCAAUACAUUGACAGCAAUUGACCCAAAAAAUUUGAUCAAUGAACCAAGUUACCCUAGGGAUAACAGCGCAAUCCACUUCAAGAGCUCCUAUCGACAAGUGGGUUUACGACCUCGAUGUUGGAUCAGGGUAUCCCAGUGGUGCAGCCGCUACUAACGGUUCGUUUGUUCAACGAUUAA